Long non-coding RNA from Papaver somniferum (opium poppy), 1269 nucleotides. RefSeq lists it as uncharacterized. NCBI's taxonomy places the organism in Eukaryota, Viridiplantae, Streptophyta, Magnoliopsida, Ranunculales, Papaveraceae. The transcript is spliced from 2 exons. The record is from RefSeq and is a predicted model, not a curated record.
UUCUGUGUUAAAAAAAAUAUCUCUUGUUGCAGUAUAACUUACACUUUUCUUAGAAAAAUCUGCAAUCUGUGCUUUUAGUCCCAACAUUUGUUCCAGUAGCUUCGUCAAUUUCUAUACCCUGUAAAACUUCUGCUCCAGCCUUGUUACAUUUCAUCUCUAUUUCUUUUAACUUUGCUGAUAGCAUCCUGUGUUGAAACUAGUUGUUCUGUUCUGCUCAUCUGUCUGUUGAGCAAGUCACUGACAUGCUAUAGAUUCCUCCCACAGUUAGUCAUACUCAGUGCCUAUACCGUCUUUUCCUUGCUUUAUCUGUGCAAUUCUAGGAACUGAUAAUUUCUGUUGAGACAACAGGUACCUGCAAUACUGAGAAGCAAACCCAGGAAAAAGAGAAGGAGCAGCAGAACACAAUCUUUGGAACUUCCUAAACCCGGUUUAUACCGGCGGUACUAAAUAAAGAUUGCAUGAUUGGAGAAACCAAAAGAGAAGAGAAUUGGUGACAACGGAAGAGAGACAACAAAGCUCCCGCUAAGAAGGCAGUGAAGAAUAUCUUCUGUACCUCAUCUGCGAGUGAAGAAUAUCGUUUGCACGACUCAAAGAUAGAAGUAGGUUUGAGAUUUUAGCUCUGAAGAAGAUAUGGGCCUAGAAGAAGACCUUCCAAGAGAUAAAACCCAAGAUUCAAGACCCAAACCCGCUACCAUGUCUUGAACCGUUAGAUUCGAUACUGAUGCUCAUCAUCCGAGGCAUCUCCACAACUGUGCAUCAAUAUUUGAUACUCCUGUCUCACACCCGAGCAUGUUCUGUCCUUCCCUUAUUCGAGCAACAACCAAACACCCCCUUCUCUUCGUACUCAUUUUCUCUACCGUCUGCAAAUACCAUCACUUCACCUACACCUCUCAGUUCGCUUCCCCCCAUCAAUCAAUUUUUGCCCGACCAAUUCUGAUCUCAGCAACCUUCUAGCCGCCAUCAAUCAACCUCCUAGUCUCCAUCUAUCUCUAUCUUAGCUUCUUCUCCAAAACAGUAACCCUAGAAGCUAGGAUUGAGAGAGAUGAAUCUAGGGUUAUCUUCAAAAGAAAACAUCAAAUCAAAGAGCUGGAAAGUCGAAUUGCGAAGGGGUUUAUCGGGAAAACGCGUUUUGAGUGAGUGGUUGUCUUCUAAUUAUCAAAUUCUAGUGUUUGAGAAGAGAAUUGGGUAUAAAUAGGGUUCUCUGUGAAUUAUGUAAACAUCCAAUUCUAGAUGGAUCAACUAGUUUUCAUAAUAUAUUUGUGUUUUAAU